UUGAAAGGGAAACGAUUGAAGUCAGUCGUACCGACGAGAAAUCAGCUUAUCGCGUGUUAGCUUGUGGGCGUGCGUGAGUUUCGGCCUCGCUGUUUGCAUGUUUGUGCGCUUUGGGUGUACUUUAACGUAUGGUUGGCCAACAUCAGUUUCGAUCACUAUGGAUGACUGGCGGAAUGUAGCUUCAAUUUCGGUUGAAGUGUUAUAGCCUCUGGUAGAUGUGGUGAUACGGACUGAGGAUUGCAACGAAUAUCCUUUGGGCUAUCCGUCUGGCCUCUGACCGUUGCUUGGGUGCUGAAAGCUUGCUUAUGGUUAUCUAAGUUAACGGUCAAUAGGUUAGAACGUGAUUACAUUCGUUAAGGAUGUUGACGUA
RNAcentral lists this ribosomal RNA (370 nucleotides) under uncultured Glomeromycotina. RNAcentral describes it as "partial large subunit ribosomal RNA". The record is from RNAcentral. Lineage: Eukaryota; Fungi; Glomeromycota.